This is a long non-coding RNA of Bacillus rossius redtenbacheri, 394 nucleotides long. RefSeq lists it as uncharacterized. The record is from RefSeq and is a predicted model, not a curated record. NCBI's taxonomy places the organism in Eukaryota, Metazoa, Arthropoda, Insecta, Phasmatodea, Bacillidae. The transcript has 2 exons.
GGCCCCAGUGCCGCGCCCGGCCCCAGUGCCGCGCCCGGCCCCAGUGCCGCGCCCGGCCCCAGUGCCGCGCCCGGCCCCAGUGAUGCGCACGGCACCGGUCUCGUGGCCAGCACCAGUGCCACACCCAGAAAAAGAAAAGGUGCUGUGACAAGACACUUUCCGUCAUCGCACAAGAAAGCAAAACUACCAAGACAAACCAUAAUGGAAAAAUUUGCUGAACAAAUGGGCACAAUUCAAGAGCGGCAGCUGGCAGCCGAUCUGCGAUGUGCAGCUGCUUUAGAAAUGUGCGCUUCGGAAAUGAAAAGAAGCAAUGUUCUGCAAGAACAAAUGGUUUUUUCUUUGGAAAGAUUGUUUGAAGUGUUGGGAAAUAAAAAACAAUAAAUAUUUUAAGAAA